Molecule: small nuclear RNA, 107 nt
Filed under: Propithecus coquereli (Coquerel's sifaka)
Lineage: Eukaryota; Metazoa; Chordata; Mammalia; Primates; Indriidae
Source: RNAcentral
GUGCUCACUUCGGGAGCACAUAUACUAAAAUUGAAAUGAUACAGAGAAGAUUAGCAUGGCUUUUGUGCAAGGAUGACAUGCAAAUUCGUGAAGUGUUGCAUAAUUUG